AUGGUCUUCUCUCGAUCACACGACGAGACUAUUUUUGGAAUACAAACUUUAACUCAGGCAAAACGAUGCCCAUUGUACAAUCAUACCAAAGCAAUGAAUCACCUAGUGUUGGCCAAUAAAUGGUACAUACUACUUUUGUGCAGUCCAUGA
This 150-nucleotide ribosomal RNA is filed under the name Triticum aestivum (bread wheat). RNAcentral describes it as "partial small subunit ribosomal RNA". Lineage: Eukaryota; Viridiplantae; Streptophyta; Magnoliopsida; Poales; Poaceae. The record is from RNAcentral.